RNAcentral lists this ribosomal RNA (767 nucleotides) under uncultured bacterium. Its description in RNAcentral is "bacterial SSU rRNA". It matches the Rfam family "Bacterial small subunit ribosomal RNA", at positions 52 to 844 of the family's 1533-position model. The record is from RNAcentral.
UACCAUGCAGUCGAGGGAGAACCACACUUCGGUGUGGGGAGACCGGCGAACGGGUGAGUAACACGUGAGGAACCUGCCCCUGAGACCGGAAUAACCAUGGGAAACCGUGGCUAAUGCCGGAUGUUCUCUUUGUCCCGCAUGGGAUGUUGAGGAAAUGGUCCGCCGCUCAGGGAUGGCCUCGCGGCCUAUCAGCUUGUUGGUGGGGUAAUGGCCUACCAAGGCAACGACGGGUAGCUGGCGUGAGAGCGCGACCAGCCACACUGGGACUGAGACACGGCCCAGACUCCUACGGGAGGCAGCAGUGGGGAAUCUUGCACAAUGGGCGAAAGCCUGAUGCAGCGACGCCGCGUGAGGGAAGAAGGCCUUCGGGUUGUAAACCUCUUUCAGGAGGGAAGAAGCGAAAGUGACGGUACCUCCAGAAGAAGGACCGGCCAACUACGUGCCAGCAGCCGCGGUAAUACGUAGGGUCCAAGCGUUGUCCGGAAUUAUUGGGCGUAAAGAGCUCGUAUGCGGUCCCUUAAGUCGGAAGUGAAAUCUCAAGGCUCAACCUUGAAACUGCUUUCGAUACUGGCGGACUUGAGCAGUAGGGAAAGUGGAAUUCCUGGUGUAGCGGUGAAAUGCGCAGAUAUCAGGAGGCACACCAGUGCCGAACGCGGCCUUCUGGCCUGUUCUGACGCUGAGAGCGAAAGCGUGGGAGCAACAGAUUAGAUACCUGGUAGUCCACGCCGUAACGAUGGUGCUAGUGUGGGGGGUUAUCCACUUCCCUC